UUCGGGAGCUGGAGAGGUCCUAGGAGAAAGAAGUGCAUGAGGCACCAAGCUUCCCAGCCAUGGCUUUUGCGCAGGGGCUGCUGAAGGCUCGCUGGCCUUGGCCUCUUCUCGUCAGGCAAGUCUCCGUGCUGCUGAUCGUGUGGAUGGCGCGGUGGAUGGAGAUGCUUCUGCCUGUGCUGUCUGCCCGCGAGCUGCUGGGGUGGCCGGGUGCCACGGCGUAAAACCUGCUUUUGCGGAGCUGGUGUAGGAGAGGACCUUAACAGCCCCCCGAGCCGCUGGCGGCACCUCCGACGGCCACAGCGAGGCAGGCUCCUUCGGGGGCCAGGAAAGGUGUUUCCAGGGGCGAGCGCUGAACCGCUACAGACCACUUCAGCUUCUCUUAGACAGCCAGGAAGCAGAGAAGGACAGCGUUGCCCGAUGGUCAGGUCUGUGCAAACAGACUGUGGAAACUCAAAACAAAACAAAUCAAUCACAGAGAAAGAUGUGUGCUCUCAUCGUGCUCAGGUUUGUGUGCUAAACACUGACCACCGCCCGGGAGUGCUUGCCAGGCUGUCAGGAUCUGA
Molecule: long non-coding RNA, 563 nt
Organism: Apteryx rowi (Okarito brown kiwi)
Lineage: Eukaryota; Metazoa; Chordata; Aves; Apterygiformes; Apterygidae
Source: Ensembl